Molecule: ribosomal RNA, 497 nt
Filed under: uncultured bacterium
Lineage: Bacteria
Description: partial 16S ribosomal RNA
Rfam family: Bacterial small subunit ribosomal RNA
Source: RNAcentral
GAUGAACGCUGGCGGCGUGCCUAAUACAUGCAAGUCGAGCGAACGGACGAGAAGCUUGCUUCUCUGAUGUUAGCGGCGGACGGGUGAGUAACACGUGGAUAACCUACCUAUAAGACUGGGAUAACUUCGGGAAACCGGAGCUAAUACCGGAUGAUAUUUUGAACCGCAUGGUUCAAAAGUGAAAGACGGUCUUGCUGUCACUUAUAGAUGGAUCCGCGCUGCAUUAGCUAGUUGGUAAGGUAACGGCUUACCAAGGCAACGAUGCAUAGCCGACCUGAGAGGGUGAUCGGCCACACUGGAACUGAGACACGGUCCAGACUCCUACGGGAGGCAGCAGUAGGGAAUCUUCCGCAAUGGGCGAAAGCCUGACGGAGCAACGCCGCGUGAGUGAUGAAGGUCUUCGGAUCGUAAAACUCUGUUAUUAGGGAAGAACAUAUGUGUAAGUAACUGUGCACAUCUUGACGGUACCCAAUCAGAAAGCCAUGGCUAACUACGUG